RNAcentral lists this non-coding RNA (23 nucleotides) under Arabidopsis thaliana (thale cress). Lineage: Eukaryota; Viridiplantae; Streptophyta; Magnoliopsida; Brassicales; Brassicaceae. The record is from RNAcentral.
AUCACACUACUUGAUGCAAUUUU